GACGAACGCUGGCGGCGUGCUUAACACAUGCAAGUCGAACGGAAAGGCCCUGCUUUUGUGGGGUGCUCGAGUGGCGAACGGGUGAGUAACACGUGAGUAACCUGCCCUUGACUUUGGGAUAACUUCAGGAAACUGGGGCUAAUACCGGAUAGGAGCUCCUGCUGCAUGGUGGGGGUUGGAAGGUUUCGGCGGCUGGGGAUGGACUCGCGGCUUAUCAGCUUGUUGGUGGGGUAGUGGCUUACCAAGGCUUUGACGGGUAGCCGGCCUGAGAGGGUGACCGGCCACAUUGGGACUGAGAUACGGCCCAGACUCCUACGGGAGGCAGCAGUGGGGAAUAUUGCACAAUGGGCGGAAGCCUGAUGCAGCAACGCCGCGUGCGGGAUGACGGCCUUCGGGUUGUAAACCGCUUUCGCCUGUGACGAAGCGUGAGUGACGGUAAUGGGUAAAGAAGCACCGGCUAACUACGUG
RNAcentral lists this ribosomal RNA (468 nucleotides) under uncultured bacterium. Its description in RNAcentral is "partial 16S ribosomal RNA". It matches the Rfam family "Bacterial small subunit ribosomal RNA", at positions 28 to 507 of the family's 1533-position model. The record is from RNAcentral.